UACAGAGGCCACAAGCGUUAGUCGGAAUCACUGGGCUUAAAGGGUGCGUAGGCUGGCUCGUAAGUGUUCUGUGAAAGCCCCCGGCUCAACCGGGGAACAGCAGGGCAUACUGCGGGUCUUGAGGCAGGUAGGGGUCGCGAGAACAGUAGGUGGAGCGGUGAAAUGCGUAGAUAUCUACUGGAAUGCCAAUGGUGAAGACGCGCGACUGGGCCUGUCCUGACGCUGAGGCACGAAAGCGUGGGGAGCAAACAGG
RNAcentral lists this ribosomal RNA (253 nucleotides) under uncultured bacterium. RNAcentral describes it as "partial 16S ribosomal RNA". It matches the Rfam family "Bacterial small subunit ribosomal RNA", at positions 524 to 776 of the family's 1533-position model. The record is from RNAcentral.